GCGGAAAACUUUUCAUUUCGGAGACUAAACAAGGCCUGAAACCUCCAAACCAGAGCUCUACUUUAAAUUUGAAUGCUCCUUAUUUUUAUUGGUUCAUUUUUUUUCUUUUACUUUAACAGCAGCAGCUCCGCAUGCAAGGUUGAGGCGGAGGUGGGUGGCCGCGCUCGCCAGAGCUCAGUGGAGGUGGGCUGCUGCGCUCAUCGGAGGGGAUGUGGAGACAGAGGCGUGAUGGAGGCGCUCGCCAGAGGGAGAGGUACAGUGGAGGCAGAUGCGAUGCGGCCGGCCGUGCUCAUCCUCGCGGGAAGGCGGGUGGAGGCAGCUGCACUUGUCGGACGAGAGGUGGAUGGCUACGCGUUGAAGAGGAGGGGAGGCGCUAUGAGGGG
This 383-nucleotide long non-coding RNA is filed under the name Sorghum bicolor (sorghum). RNAcentral's name for it is "long non-coding RNA (SBIC_LNC005464)". The record is from RNAcentral. Lineage: Eukaryota; Viridiplantae; Streptophyta; Magnoliopsida; Poales; Poaceae.